RNAcentral lists this ribosomal RNA (287 nucleotides) under uncultured bacterium. RNAcentral's name for it is "partial 16S ribosomal RNA". It matches the Rfam family "Bacterial small subunit ribosomal RNA", at positions 773 to 1060 of the family's 1533-position model. The record is from RNAcentral.
GUGGAUUAGAUACCCUGGUAGUCCACGCUGUAAACGAUGAGUGCUAGGCGUCGGCACGCUUGCGUGUCGGUGCCGCAGCUAACGCGUGAAGCACUCCGCCUGGGGAGUACGGUCGCAAGAUUAAAACUCAAAGGAAUUGACGGGGGCCCGCACAAGCGGUGGAGCAUGUGGUUUAAUUCGACGCAACGCGCAGAACCUUACCAGCCCUUGACAUGCCGUGCUACUUGCAGAGAUGCAGGGUUCCAGCAAUGGACGCGGACACAGGUGCUGCACGGCUGUCGUCAACU